RNAcentral lists this ribosomal RNA (497 nucleotides) under uncultured bacterium. RNAcentral's name for it is "partial 16S ribosomal RNA". It matches the Rfam family "Bacterial small subunit ribosomal RNA", at positions 28 to 507 of the family's 1533-position model. The record is from RNAcentral.
GAUGAACGCUGGCGGCGUGCCUAAUACAUGCAAGUCGAGCGAACAGAUGAGGAGCUUGCUCCUCUGACGUUAGCGGCGGACGGGUGAGUAACACGUGGAUAACCUACCUAUAAGACUGUGAUAACUUCGGGAAACCGGAGCUAAUACCGUAUAAUAUAUUGAACCGCAUGGUUCAAUAGUGAAAGACGGUUUUGCUGUCACUUAUAGAUGGAUCCGCGCCGCAUUAGCUAGUUGGUAAGGUAACGGCUUACCAAGGCAACGAUGCGUAGCCGACCUGAGAGGGUGAUCGGCCACACUGGAACUGAGACACGGUCCAGACUCCUACGGGAGGCAGCAGUAGGGAAUCUUCCGCAAUGGGCGAAAGCCUGACGGAGCAACGCCGCGUGAGGGAUGAAGGUCUUCGGAUCGUAAAACUCUGUUAUUAGGGAAGAAAAAAUGUGUAAGUAACUAUGCACGUAUUGACGGUACCUAACCAGAAAGCCACGGCUAACUACGUG